Molecule: ribosomal RNA, 17 nt
Filed under: Gyrodactylus truttae
Lineage: Eukaryota; Metazoa; Platyhelminthes; Monogenea; Gyrodactylidea; Gyrodactylidae
Description: partial 28S ribosomal RNA
Source: RNAcentral
CCUGACCUCGAUUCGAG